AAAUCCACGCAGGGUGAGCCGGCCCCUAAGGCGAGGCCGAAAGGCGUAGUCGAUGGGAACCACGUUAAUAUUCGUGGGCUUGUUGGAAGUGACGAAGGCCGAAAGCUGUAUCCUCUAAUUGGAUUGAGGGUGCAGCCUGGGACUUCCAGGAAAUAACUCCAACGUAUAAACCGUACCCUAAACCGACACAGGUGGACUGGUAGAGUAUACCAAGGCGCUUGAGAGAACGAUGUUGAAGGAACUCGGCAAAUUGCUUGCGUAACUUCGGGAUAAGCAAGCCCCAUCUUUGGGCAACCAUCGAUGGGGGGCACAAGCCAGGGGGUAGCGACUGUUUAUCAAAAACACAGGGCUCUGCGAAAUCGUAAGAUGACGUAUAGGGUCUGACGCCUGCCCGGUGCCGGAAGAUUAAGAGGAGGGGUUAACGCUCUGAAUCGAAGUCCCGGUAAACGGCGGCCGUAACAAUAACGGUCCUAAGGUAGCGAAAUUCCUUGUCGGGUAAGUUCCGACCUGCACGAAUGGCGUAACGACUUCCCCGCUGUCUCCAGCAUCGACUCAGCGAAAUUGAACUCCCCGUGAAGAUGCGGGGUACCCGCGGUCAGACGGAAAGACCCUAUGAACCUUUACUGUAGCUUUGCAGUGGUAUUACGCUUGUUAUGUGUAGAAUAGGUGGGAGACUUUGAAGCUUGGGCGCUAGCCUGAGUGGAGUCAUUAGUGAAAUACCGCCCUUGAUUUUCGUGAUAUCUAACCUCGUCCCAUUAUCUGGGACAGGGACCCUGCAUGGUAGGCAGUUUGACUGGGGCGGUCGCCUCCCAAAUUGUAACGGAGGCGCGCGAUGGUAGGCUCAGGUUGGUCGGAAAUCAACCUACGAGUGCAUUGGCAGAAGCCUGCCUGACUGUAAGACUGACAAGUCGAGCAGAGUCGAAAGACGGUCAAAGUGAUCCGGUGGUUCCGCAUGGAAGGGCCAUCGCUCAACGAAUAAAAGGUACUCUAGGGAUAACAGGCUGAUAGCGCCCAAGCGUCCACAGCGACGGCGCUGUUUGGCACCUCGAUGUCGGCUCAUCUCAUCCUGGGGCUGGAGCAGGUCCCAAGGGUAUGGCUGUUCGCCAUUUAAAGAGGUACGUGAGCUGGGUUCAGAACGUCGUGGGACAGUUCGGUCCCUAUCUGCCGUGGGUGUUGGAAUAUAGAGAGGAUCUGUCCUUAGUACGAGAGGACCGGGAUGGACACACCUCUGGUGUACCGGUUGUCGCGCCAGCGGCAAGAGCCGGGUAGCUAUGUGUGGAAGGGAUAACUGCUGAAUGCAUCUAAGUAGGAAGCCCCCCUCAAAACUAGUAUUCCCUAU
Molecule: ribosomal RNA, 1339 nt
Filed under: metagenome
Description: bacterial LSU rRNA
Rfam family: Bacterial large subunit ribosomal RNA
Source: RNAcentral